Molecule: ribosomal RNA, 400 nt
Filed under: uncultured bacterium
Lineage: Bacteria
Description: bacterial SSU rRNA
Rfam family: Bacterial small subunit ribosomal RNA
Source: RNAcentral
UGGGGAAUAUUGGACAAUGGGCGAAAGCCUGAUCCAGCAAUGCCGCGUGAGUGAUGAAGGCCUUAGGGUUGUAAAGCUCUUUUACCCGGGAUGAUAAUGACAGUACCGGGAGAAUAAGCCCCGGCUAACUCCGUGCCAGCAGCCGCGGUAAAACGUAGGAGGCGAGCGUUAUCCGGAUUUACUGGGCGUAAAGGGCGUGCAGGUGGCUGUGUAAGUGGUGCGUGAAAGCGCUCGGCUCAACCGGGCGAGGGCGUGCCAAACUGCACAACUAGAAACAGGCAGAGGAAAGUGGAAUUCGGGGUGUAGUGGUGAAAUGCGUAGAGAUCCCGAGGAACUCCUGUGGCGAAGGCGACUUUCUGGGCCUGCUUUGACACUCAGACGCGAAAGCAUGGGGAGCGAA